GACGAACGCUGGCGGCGUGCUUAACACAUGCAAGUCGAGCGGUAAGGCCCUUUCGGGGGUACACGAGCGGCGAACGGGUGAGUAACACGUGGGUGACCUGCCCUCAGCUCUGGGAUAAGCCUGGGAAACCGGGUCUAAUACUGGAUAUGACUCCAUGACGCAUGUUGUGGGGUGGAAAGCCUUGUGCGGCUGAGGAUGGGCCCGCGGCCUAUCAGCUUGUUGGUGGGGNGAUGGCCUACCAAGGCGACGACGGGUAGCCGGCCUGAGAGGGCGACCGGCCACACUGGGACUGAGACACGGCCCCAGACUCCUACGGGAGGCAGCAGUGGGGAAUCUUGCGCAAUGGGCGAAAGCCUGACGCAGCGACGCCGCGUGAGGGAUGACGGCC
Molecule: ribosomal RNA, 388 nt
Filed under: uncultured bacterium
Lineage: Bacteria
Description: bacterial SSU rRNA
Rfam family: Bacterial small subunit ribosomal RNA
Source: RNAcentral